This is a long non-coding RNA of Triticum dicoccoides, 848 nucleotides long. RefSeq lists it as uncharacterized. The transcript has 3 exons. The record is from RefSeq and is a predicted model, not a curated record. NCBI's taxonomy places the organism in Eukaryota, Viridiplantae, Streptophyta, Magnoliopsida, Poales, Poaceae.
GUGGGUUCUCGGCGUCGGCAUCCCCGGUCCCUGGCUGGCCGGCUCCAAACUGCUCUCGCCGCCUCCCAUCUGCUCGUGCCGCAUCACCCCGAUCUAGUACGAGCAGCUCGCUGCCUCGACUUGCUGCUUCAUUGUUCCGGGCUAGCUGCUCUGCUCGUUCGCUCAUUGCCCGGUUCAUGGGAGAAGGACCAACCGCCAUGUGAUUGUGGGAGUUUAAGCGGCUGCGGAGGCGGAGGCGGAUUCGGAACCCCCCUCCUUGGUCGGCGUCGCCGGCUGGCUUGCCCACGGCCCUUCUAGCAUUCAUUCCACUGAACACAAAUGUUUGGGACAACAAAUGAGCUGAUGCAUACGAGCUGUUUGACGAAAUGCUCACUAGCUGCUCCUCUGUUUCUUGGUUUAAACGAAAUUCGCUGUGCUAAUCAAAAUCUUGCAGCUUCGUAGGAAGCCCAGCCAAGUUGGCACUUGCUAUAUGAUAUGAUCGCACAUCGCAAUUUCCAAUCCUUGACCGGUCUCGCCGGCUUGCUUGCCCUUGCCUGCCCACCGCACCGGUGGUUGCUGACUUCGUGAGACACAGGGAGAGCAGGAACGGAAAUGGUUGGAUACUAGCAUUCCGUUGGGUUUUUCCUUGAGACAACAACUCAGUGGAUGCAUGCGAGCUGUUCAACGAAAUGCUCAGGAGACAAGCCAAGUUGGCACUUGCUAUAUAAUGAUUCUACACCUAACUGAGGCCUUGCCAGUGCAAGUAGAUGAGGACAACCAUACUAUAUUAUGGUUGAAUAAAAUAAACGGACUUAACGACUUCAAGUGCAGCAAUGAUUGUCCUUUCCUGGCUAAUUUCGUACUAUGGA